Molecule: small nuclear RNA, 107 nt
Organism: Peromyscus maniculatus bairdii (prairie deer mouse)
Lineage: Eukaryota; Metazoa; Chordata; Mammalia; Rodentia; Cricetidae
Source: Ensembl
GUGCUCACUUUGUCAGUGCAUAUACUAAAGGUGGAAUGAUAGAGAAAAGCUUAUCUUGACCCCUGAGCAAUGAUGGCACACAAAUUCAUGAAGCAUUCCAUAUGUUC